AGUGAACGCUGGCGGUAGGCCUAACACAUGCAAGUCGAACGGCAGCACAGUAAGAGCUUGCUCUUACGGGUGGCGAGUGGCGGACGGGUGAGGAAUACAUCGGAAUCUACUUUUUCGUGGGGGAUAACAUAGGGAAACUUACGCUAAUACCGCAUACGACCUACGGGUGAAAGCAGGGGAUCUUCGGACCUUGCGCGAUUGAAUGAGCCGAUGUCGGAUUAGCUAGUUGGCGGGGUAAAGGCCCACCAAGGCGACGAUCCGUAGCUGGUCUGAGAGGAUGAUCAGCCACACUGGAACUGAGACACGGUCCAGACUCCUACGGGAGGCAGCAGUGGGGAAUAUUGGACAAUGGGCGCAAGCCUGAUCCAGCCAUACCGCGUGGGUGAAGAAGGCCUUCGGGUUGUAAAGCUCUUUUGUUGGGAAAGAAAAGCAGCAGGUUAAUACCCCGCUGUUCUGACGGUACCCAAAGAAUAAGCACCGGCUAACUUCGUG
RNAcentral lists this ribosomal RNA (492 nucleotides) under uncultured bacterium. RNAcentral's name for it is "partial 16S ribosomal RNA". It matches the Rfam family "Bacterial small subunit ribosomal RNA", at positions 29 to 507 of the family's 1533-position model. The record is from RNAcentral.